Molecule: ribosomal RNA, 484 nt
Filed under: uncultured bacterium
Lineage: Bacteria
Description: partial 16S ribosomal RNA
Rfam family: Bacterial small subunit ribosomal RNA
Source: RNAcentral
AUUGAACGCUGGCGGCAGGCCUAACACAUGCAAGUCGAGCGGAUGAAGGGAGCUUGCUCCUGGAUUCAGCGGCGGACGGGUGAGUAAUGCCUAGGAAUCUGCCUGGUAGUGAGGGAUAACGUCCGGAAACGGGCGCUAAUACCGCAUACGUCCUGAGGGAGAAAGUGGGGGAUCUUCGGACCUCACGCUAUCAGAUGAGCCUAGGUCGGAUUAGCUAGUUGGUGGGGUAAAGGCCUACCAAGGCGACGAUCCGUAACUGGUCUGAGAGGAUGAUCAGUCACACUGGAACUGAGACACGGUCCAGACUCCUACGGGAGGCAGCAGUGGGGAAUAUUGGACAAUGGGCGAAAGCCUGAUCCAGCCAUGCCGCGUGUGUGAAGAAGGUCUUCGGAUUGUAAAGCACUUUAAGUUGGGAGGAAGGGCAGUAAGUUAAUACCUUGCUGUUUUGACGUUACCAACAGAAUAAGCACCGGCUAACCUCGUG